Molecule: long non-coding RNA, 1090 nt
Filed under: Equus asinus (donkey)
Lineage: Eukaryota; Metazoa; Chordata; Mammalia; Perissodactyla; Equidae
Description: lncRNA (ENSEASG00005030504.1)
Source: RNAcentral
CUGGGAGCGAAAAAUCCGGGAUCCGGCAACUUUGGGCAGCGCAUGCGCACCCGCGGCGCUCCAUCCCAAACACACACACAUUUUUCCCCGGACUUGGAAAGUCACCCAAAGCCGCCCCAAGUGCAGAUGGAGAAACUGAGGCCCAGAGAGGGGCGAUUGUUUGAACAACAUCACACAGCUAGUCGGUGACGUAUUUGGAACCCAGACGAAGUCUUUGGGCCACUGGAAACAUGGUCAUCUCCGUGGAUGGCUCACGGCGAUGCCGACCAAUCCCAGACAAGGAAUUCUGCUCUCCUCCACUUCCAGGAAACAAAGGGACCCUCGUGGAGGAUCAGAUGCUUUGUGGCUGUGGUUGGGGGUGACUGGUCCUCUAGUUUAGGGACUGCCUCUGUUGAGGAAAGUGCUGGACGGUGAGACAGGAUGACGGGGUUCUAGCCCCACCUCUGUCACUCACAAGCAGCCACUUCCCAAGACCUCAGCUUUGCUGUCCGUGGAGAGAGAAAGAGGCUGGACCCAGUGGUUCCACGUCCCUUCCCACUUCAGGACGGCUGAGCUUCCUGCCACAAUCCGGAGUCCCCAGCUGUGUCACGCAGCAAACCCUCUCCCACAACCUGUCAAACCAGAGAUGCCAGUUUCCCCAGGGCUCCCAUGAGCUCCCUGCCCCUGUCCUUUGCCAGGGAGAGCCUUUGCAGGCUCGCGGAGCAGUGCCCCUGGCCCACGCUCCGUGCACCUGCUUAUUGAUAACUGCGUGUCUGAAUGUGCCUUGUGUCAGAGCCCUUUGGUUUGAAUUUGCCGAGUACUGAGCGGCUGAGACGUGAGAAAAUUAUGAGCAGGAGAGAGACGUGGUACCCUAUGACAAGAGGCAGCUGUGGUGAGAGGGUAGGCACGAUGCCUGGGGUGAGCGCCAUCUGGGCAGGAGGCCUGGCUCCCAGCUGUGGGGGCUCCGGAAGGGCAGAGCCUGGGAGGAACGAUUUUGAAGCCACUACUAUGGAGAUUAAGGGGAUGAGAAUGUAAAUCUCAAGUAAAAAGGUAAUUGAAUGUAAUAGCAAACAGUGCUCGCUCUAUGUUAAUUUUAGCUCUUCCCCUGGAU